RNAcentral lists this ribosomal RNA (366 nucleotides) under uncultured bacterium. RNAcentral describes it as "bacterial SSU rRNA". It matches the Rfam family "Bacterial small subunit ribosomal RNA", at positions 59 to 449 of the family's 1533-position model. The record is from RNAcentral.
AAGUCGAACGGACACCUUCGGGUGUCAGUGGCGAACGGGUGAGUAACGCGUAGGAAUCUACCCCUGGGAGGGGGAUAACAGCUGGAAACGGCUGCUAAUACCCCAUACAGGCGCAAGCUGAAAGGAGCAAUCCGCCCAGGGAUGAGCCUGCGUCGGAUUAGCUAGUUGGUGGGGUAAUGGCCUACCAAGGCGACGAUCCGUAGCGGGUCUGAGAGGAUGGCCCGCCACACUGGGACUGAGACACGGCCCAGACUCCUACGGGAGGCAGCAGUGGGGAAUUUUCCGCAAUGGGCGAAAGCCUGACGGAGCAAUGCCGCGUGAGGGAAGAAGGCCUUCGGGUUGUAAACCUCUUUUCUGGGGGACGAA